This is a non-coding RNA of Pelobates cultripes (western spadefoot toad), 210 nucleotides long. The record is from the annotation of a GenBank genome assembly. NCBI's taxonomy places the organism in Eukaryota, Metazoa, Chordata, Amphibia, Anura, Pelobatidae.
CCAGGUGUUAUGGUGUGUGCUAUGUCUCCCUAGUUCCGGGACGUGAAAGGUAUAAAUACCAUGGGGUCCAGAUGUCGACGUGUUUGGUGCUUCUCCCUAUUAGUUCUGCGUACCGCGCCUCGGCCGUGUGUAUUUCCUCAAAUCUCUGUAGCCACUCCGUGACGGUCGGUGGUUGAGUCUGUUUCCAUUUGACUGGUAUAGAUGCUUUCU